CGUGCACAAUGCACAUGCACCCGAAUCACGCAUUUAAACGCGUUAAAUUACAUCACGCCUACAACGUGGCACACUCGUGAAUCGCGGUUUUUUUUGUACUGUUAUAAUUUUACAAGCAUUCAAAUUAACAUAGUCAAAUAUUUGUUAUCGCCUUCUACAUGCAACACAUUUAUAUCAUUUGAAAUGAAAUAAUCGAUCGUAAGAUUAGGUUAUAUUCUUCGUUAUGACAGAUUUCGGGUGUAACAUGAUGUAUUUUUUUUUCUGAACAACUUUCUACCAGAAGUCUCGCUCCAUGAACUUUAGGGUUUGCAAAUUACGUCUAGUUGAUUAGUUAUUUACUGAUUUUGUUCGUAGUUUUGAUUGAGGCUGUAAUAGUUUUCGAAAAAAUCAUGAAAUACUAAAAACCAAAUAGUAAUACGAAGAGUUCAAAAUUCGGGUGUGUGUGGCACCUGAUUCCUGAUUGGAUAUGUUCGAUUGUUUUCCAUUAUUCCGAAAAUGGUUGAGUAUCUUAACCUCUUUAAAGUAUCAAUUAAAUUCAAAACUCUACAAAAAAGUUCUGAUAAAGUUUUUGAUCGGAGUAAGAGUCUUCAAGUUAAAAACCCGAAAAGCCAUCAAAAAAAAUACGAGAUUCACCAUGAGUUGUACUUAGUGGUGGAGAAAAAAAGUUAUCCUUAAUAGUAAUUUUUGUUGUGAGCGUGUUCGAUGAACAAAAAAACAUCGUAAACAUCGAGGUACUUUUUAAAACGUAAUUGAUCGAACUUUGCUAAAAAUCGUUUUGAUGUUUUGAAUUAUUAACAAAAUUUAUCGAUGCAUUAUACAGCUGAUAUAUCCUACGUUAUACUAACUUCCCACCUAUUAUAUAACAGUGUUACGUGCAUUUUUAUUUGUAAACGGGAUAUUUUGAGAGGGCGCAGGUGCGUUAUAAAUGUUAUCGCCGUGCA
Molecule: non-coding RNA, 941 nt
Organism: Cinara cedri
Lineage: Eukaryota; Metazoa; Arthropoda; Insecta; Hemiptera; Aphididae
Source: the annotation of a GenBank genome assembly